CGCCGCGGUAAACGUAGGGGACAAGCGUUUCCGGAUUCACUGGGCGUAAAGAGCGUUGAGGCGGUUCCGUAAGUUGGGCGUGAAAGCUCCGGGCUUAACCCGGAGAUGUCGUUCAAUACUGCGGGGCUUGAGGACAGCAGAGGAAGGUGGAAUUCCCGGUGUAGUGGUGAAAUGCGUAGAUAUCGGGAGGAACACCCGUGGCGAAGGCGGCCUUCUGGGCUGUUCCUGACGCUGAAGGCGAAAGCUAGGGGAGCGAACGGGAUUAGAUACCCCGGUAGUCCUAGCUGUAAACGAUGGAUGCUGGGUGUGGGGGGUGUAAAUUCCCUCUGUGCCGAAGCAAACGCGUUAAGCAUCCCGCCUGGGGACUACGGCCGCAAGGCUAAAACUCAAACGAAUUGACGGGGGCCCGCACAAGCAGCGGAGCGUGUGGUUUAAUUCGAUGCUACACGAAGAACCUUACCUGGGUUUGACAUGCACGUGGUAGGGAACCGAAAGGGGACCGACCUUCGGGAGCGUGCACAGGUGCUGCAUGGCUGUCGUCAGCUCGUGCCGUGAGGUGUCGGGUUAAGUCCCGUAACGAGCGCAACCCUUGCCCUUAGUUACAAGUGUCUAAGGGGACUGCCCGGGACAACUGGGAGGAAGGUGGGGAUGACGUCAAGUCAGCAUGGCCUUUAUAUCCAGGGCUACACACACGCUACAAUGGCCCUUCAACGGGCACUCCAAAAUGUUUUCAAGUGUGAGGGGGGACCCAUCAAAAACCUGUUCCAAUGUCAGUCUGCAACUCGUCAGCACGAAGCAGGAGUUGCUAGUAAUCGCAGGUCAGCCAUACUGCGGGAAUA
Molecule: ribosomal RNA, 839 nt
Filed under: uncultured Chloroflexota bacterium
Lineage: Bacteria; Bacillati; Chloroflexota
Description: bacterial SSU rRNA
Rfam family: Bacterial small subunit ribosomal RNA
Source: RNAcentral